CCUACGGGAGGCAGCAGUAGGGAAUCUUCCGCAAUGGACGAAAGUCUGACGGAGCAACGCCGCGUGAACGAUGAAGGCCUUCGGGUCGUAAAGUUCUGUUGUUAGGGAAGAACAAGUGCUAGUUAAAUAAGCUGGCACCUUGACGGUACCUAACCAGAAAGCCACGGCUAACUACGUGCCAGCAGCCGCGGUAAUACGUAGGUGGCAAGCGUUGUCCGGAAUUAUUGGGCGUAAAGCGCGCGCAGGCGGUUUCUAAGUCUGAUGUGAAAGCCCCCGGCUCAACCGGGGAGGGUCAUUGGAAACUGGGAAACUUGAGUGCAGAAGAGGAAAGUGGAAUUCCAAGUGUAGCGGUGAAAUGCGUAGAGAUUUGGAGGAACACCAGUGGCGAAGGCGACUUUCUGGUCUGUAACUGACGCUGAGGCGCGAAAGCGUGGGGAGCAAACAGGAUUAGAUACCCUGGUAGUCCACGCUGUAAACGAUGAGUGCUAAGUGUUAGAGGGUUUUCCGCCCUUUAGUGCUGAAGUUAACGCAUUAAGCACUCCGCCUGGGGAUACGGUCGCAAGACUGAAACUCGAAAAGGAUUGACGGCUGAGACNGCGAGNGACGACGAGGAGAG
Molecule: ribosomal RNA, 616 nt
Filed under: uncultured bacterium
Lineage: Bacteria
Description: bacterial SSU rRNA
Rfam family: Bacterial small subunit ribosomal RNA
Source: RNAcentral